GUCGAGGGGCAGCGCGAUGUAGCAAUACAUUGGCGGCGACCGGCGCACGGGUGCGUAACACGUAUGGAAUCUGCCCUUUACUGGGGGAUAGCCCGGAGAAAUCCGGAUUAAUACCCCAUAAUAAUCGAGGUGGCAUCACCUUGAUUUGAAAGCUCCGGCGGUAAAGGAUGACCAUGCGCACGAUUAGCUAGUAGGUGAGGUAACGGCUCACCUAGGCUACGAUCGUUAGGGGGCCUGAGAGGGUUAUCCCCCACACUGGUACUGAGACACGGACCAGACUCCUACGGGAGGCAGCAGUGAGGAAUAUUGCGCAAUGGAGGCAACUCUGACGCAGCCAUGCCGCGUGCAGGAAGAAGGCGCUACGCGUUGUAAACUGCUUUUAACCGGGAAGAAACCCCUCUACGUGUGGAGGGUUGACGGUACCGGAGGAAUAAGCACCGGCUAACUUCGUGCCAGCAGCCGCGGUAAUACGAAGGGUGCAAGCGUUAUCCGGAUUCAUUGGGUUUAAAGGGUGCGUAGGCGGGGUGGUAAGUCAGUGGUGAAAUCCUGCAGCUUAACUGUAGAAUUGCCAUUGAUACUGCCAUUCUUGAGUACGCUGGAUGUGGGCGGAAUGUGCCGUGUAGCGGUGAAAUGCUUAGAUAUGGCACAGAACACCGAUAGCGAAGGCAGCUCACAACGGCGAAACUGACGCUGAGGCACGAAAGCGUGGGGAUCGAACAGGAUUAGAUACCCUGGUAGUCCACGCCGUAAACGAUGAUCACUCGUCAUUGGCGAUACACUGUCAGUGACCUAGCGAAAGCGUUAAGUGAUCCACCUGGGGAGUACGGCCGCAAGGCUGAAACUCAAAGGAAUUGACGGGGGCCCGCACAAGCGGUGGAGCAUGUGGUUUAAUUCGAUGAUACGCGAGGAACCUUACCAGGGCUCGAACGCACGUAGACAGUCGCGGAAACGUGAUCUUCUUCGGACUGC
Molecule: ribosomal RNA, 969 nt
Filed under: uncultured bacterium
Lineage: Bacteria
Description: bacterial SSU rRNA
Rfam family: Bacterial small subunit ribosomal RNA
Source: RNAcentral